RNAcentral lists this ribosomal RNA (775 nucleotides) under uncultured Neocallimastigales. RNAcentral's name for it is "partial large subunit ribosomal RNA". It matches the Rfam family "Eukaryotic large subunit ribosomal RNA", at positions 23 to 645 of the family's 3401-position model. The record is from RNAcentral. Lineage: Eukaryota; Fungi; Neocallimastigomycota; Neocallimastigomycetes; Neocallimastigales.
AGAGAUGUGUGAUGACGCAUAUCAAUAAGCGGAGGAAAAGAAACUAACAAGGAUUCCCCUUAGUAACGGCGAGUGAAGCGGGAAGAGCUCAAAUUUGAAAUCUUCAAGGUUCUACCUUGACGAAUUGUAGUUUAUAGAAGUGUUUUCUGUUAGUAGAGUGGCAAAAGUUCUUUGGAAUAGGACAUCAUAGAGGGUGAGAAUCCCGUAUUUGGUCAUUCUUUCUAGCUUUGUGAUACACUUUCAACGAGUCGGAUUGUUUGGGAAUGCAGUCCAAAAUGGGUGGUAAAUUUCAUCUAAAGCUAAAUAUUGGCGAGAGACCGAUAGCGAACAAGUACCGUGAGGGAAAGAUGAAAAGAACUUUGAAAAGAGAGUUAAACAGUACGUGAAAUUGUCAAAAGGGAAGCGUUUGACACCAGUGUUGUUUUUCCGAAAAUCAAUUACGAAUGUUUUAGUUUUGAGGAGUUAUGACUUCAUCGGCUUGCUUCUCUCUUUACUGAAACUUUCUUAAUGCACUUUUCGGUUAACAAGUCAACAUCAAUUUCUUUUGUUGUAAAAGGGUAUGAGGAAGGUGGCUUUCUUUUCGGAGAAAGUGUUUAUAGCCUUGUACCUCUGCAAUCGGAGAGAUUGAGGUCUGCAGCGUAGAUCCUUCGGGGUUAGAUACAUUUGUGCUAAGUUAUAGCUUUUCAUAGACAACUUGUUGAUUAUGUUAGUCUUGUAGCUUACUCGCUUAUGCUAUUUUACCUACGCUUAGGAUGUUGAAGUCAUCGUAUCGCGC